Lupinus albus (white lupine) is the source of this 315-nucleotide non-coding RNA. The record is from the annotation of a GenBank genome assembly. Lineage: Eukaryota; Viridiplantae; Streptophyta; Magnoliopsida; Fabales; Fabaceae.
UAGGUAUUCAAAAAAUAAAGUCAUUCCCUUUUAUCUAUAAUUGUGACUUGAAUAUUGAAUGACUAGAAAUUAAUCAAAAAGUAGCGGCGAGCGAAAAUGGGGUUGUGGGAGAGCUAUACAAGUGUCAUGCUGCUAGAAGAAGCGAUGGAGUGUUGCACCCUAGAUGACGAGAGUACAGUAGCCGAAAGCAUCACUAGCUUAUGCUAUGACUCGAGUAGCGUGGAGCACGUGGAACCUCAUGUGAAUCAACAAUGACCACCUUGCAAAGCUAAAUACUCAUGAGUGACCUAUAGUGAAGUAGUAUUAUGAAGGAAU